This 402-nucleotide ribosomal RNA is filed under the name uncultured bacterium. RNAcentral describes it as "bacterial SSU rRNA". It matches the Rfam family "Bacterial small subunit ribosomal RNA", at positions 358 to 774 of the family's 1533-position model. The record is from RNAcentral.
AGAAUCUUCCGCAAUGGGCGAAAGCCUGACGGAGCGAUGCCGCGUGGGGGACGGAGGCCUUCGGGUCGUGAACCCCUGUCACCCGGGACGAAGCAAGUGACGGUACCGGGAGAGGAAGCCACGGCUAACUACGUGCCAGCAGCCGCGGUAACACGUAGGUGGCGAGCGUUAUUCGGAUUCACUGGGCGUAAAGGGUCCGCAGGGGGCCCUGCAAGCCCGCCGUGAAACCCCGGGGCUCAACCCCGGGCGUGCGGCGGGGACUGCCGGGCUGGAGUGCGCGAUGGGCAAUCGGAACACCAGGUGUAGCGGUGGAAUGCGUGGAUAUCUGGUGGAACACCGGCGGCGAAGGCGGAUUGCUGGCGCGCGACUGACCCUCAGGGACGAAAGCGUGGGUAUCAAACA